CCGGGGUGGAGUAAUGUCUGGGAAACGUGCCUGAUGAGGGGGAGUAACUACUGGAAACGGUAGCUAAUACCGCAUAAUGUCGCAAGACCAAAGUGGGGGACCUUCGGGCCUCUUGCCAUCGGAUGUGCCCAGAUGGGAUUAGCUAGUAGGUGGGGUAACGGCUCACCUAGGCGACGAUCCCUAGCUGGUCUGAGAGGAUGACCAGCCACACUGGAACUGAGACACGGUCCAG
Molecule: ribosomal RNA, 232 nt
Filed under: uncultured bacterium
Lineage: Bacteria
Description: partial 16S ribosomal RNA
Rfam family: Bacterial small subunit ribosomal RNA
Source: RNAcentral